GGCGUGCCUAAGAAAUGCAAGUCGAGCGGUCCCCCAGCAAUGGGGGACAGCGGCGAACGGUCGCGUAACACGUAAGCAACCUGCCCCGAAGACCGGGACAACAUCUCGAAAGGGGUGCUAAUACCGGAUGUGAUCGUUUCUGGGCAUCCAGAGACGCGGAAAGCCUGUACAGGGGCAAGCCUGUGCCAGGGCUUCGGGAGGGGCUUGCGGCCUAUCAGCUAGUUGGUGGGGUAACGGCCUACCAAGGCGACGACGGGUAGCUGGUCUGAGAGGACGUCCAGCCGGACUGGGACUGAGAGACGGCCCAGACUCCUACGGGGGGCAGCAAUUAGGAAUCUUGCGCAAUGGGCGAAAGCCUGACGCAGCGACGCCGCGUGGAGGAGGAAGUCCUUCGGGAUGUAAACUCCUUUUGAGUGGGAAGAAACAAAUGACGGUACCACUUGAAUAAGCCCCGGCUAACUACGUGCCAGCAGCCGCGGUAAUACGUAGGGGGCGAGCGUUGUCCGAAGUUACUGGGCGUAAAGCGCGCGUAGGCGGGUCGUUAAGUGAGAGGUGAAAGGGUGGGGCUCAACCCCAGCAGUGCCUCUCAUACUGGCGGUCUUGAGGGCGGUAGAGAGAAGUGGAAUGGCUGGUGUAGCGGUGAAAUGCGUAGAUAUCAGUCGGAACACCGGUGGCGAAGGCGGCUUCUUGGGCCGUACCUGACGCUGAGGCGCGAAAGCCAGGGGAGCGAACGGGAUUAGAUACCCCGGUAGUCCUGGCCGUAAACGAUGGAUACUAGGUGUCGGGGGUAUCGACCCCUCCGGUGCCGCAGCUAACGCAAUAAGUAUCCCGCCUGGGGAGUACGGCCGCAAGGUUGAAACUC
RNAcentral lists this ribosomal RNA (862 nucleotides) under uncultured bacterium. Its description in RNAcentral is "bacterial SSU rRNA". It matches the Rfam family "Bacterial small subunit ribosomal RNA", at positions 41 to 902 of the family's 1533-position model. The record is from RNAcentral.